RNAcentral lists this ribosomal RNA (1579 nucleotides) under Staphylococcus aureus. Its description in RNAcentral is "partial 23S ribosomal RNA". It matches the Rfam family "Bacterial large subunit ribosomal RNA", at positions 1328 to 2904 of the family's 2925-position model. Lineage: Bacteria; Bacillati; Bacillota; Bacilli; Caryophanales; Staphylococcaceae. The record is from RNAcentral.
UCCCGUCCACCGAUUGACUAAGGUUUCCAGAGGAAGGCUCGUCCGCUCUGGGUUAGUCGGGUCCUAAGCUGAGGCCGACAGGCGUAGGCGAUGGAUAACAGGUUGAUAUUCCUGUACCACCUAUAAUCGUUUUAAUCGAUGGGGGGACGCAGUAGGAUAGGCGAAGCGUGCGAUUGGAUUGCACGUCUAAGCAGUAAGGCUGAGUAUUAGGCAAAUCCGGUACUCAUUAAGGCUGAGCUGUGAUGGGGAGAAGACAUUGUGUCUUCGAGUCGUUGAUUUCACACUGCCGAGAAAAGCCUCUAGAUAGAAAAUAGGUGCCCGUACCGCAAACCGACACAGGUAGUCAAGAUGAGAAUUCUAAGGUGAGCGAGCGAACUCUCGUUAAGGAACUCGGCAAAAUGACCCCGUAACUUCGGGAGAAGGGGUGCUCUUUAGGGUUAACGCCCAGAAGAGCCGCAGUGAAUAGGCCCAAGCGACUGUUUAUCAAAAACACAGGUCUCUGCUAAACCGUAAGGUGAUGUAUAGGGGCUGACGCCUGCCCGGUGCUGGAAGGUUAAGAGGAGUGGUUAGCUUCUGCGAAGCUACGAAUCGAAGCCCCAGUAAACGGCGGCCGUAACUAUAACGGUCCUAAGGUAGCGAAAUUCCUUGUCGGGUAAGUUCCGACCCGCACGAAAGGCGUAACGAUUUGGGCACUGUCUCAACGAGAGACUCGGUGAAAUCAUAGUACCUGUGAAGAUGCAGGUUACCCGCGACAGGACGGAAAGACCCCGUGGAGCUUUACUGUAGCCUGAUAUUGAAAUUCGGCACAGCUUGUACAGGAUAGGUAGGAGCCUUUGAAACGUGAGCGCUAGCUUACGUGGAGGCGCUGGUGGGAUACUACCCUAGCUGUGUUGGCUUUCUAACCCGCACCACUUAUCGUGGUGGGAGACAGUGUCAGGCGGGCAGUUUGACUGGGGCGGUCGCCUCCUAAAAGGUAACGGAGGCGCUCAAAGGUUCCCUCAGAAUGGUUGGAAAUCAUUCAUAGAGUGUAAAGGCAUAAGGGAGCUUGACUGCGAGACCUACAAGUCGAGCAGGGUCGAAAGACGGACUUAGUGAUCCGGUGGUUCCGCAUGGAAGGGCCAUCGCUCAACGGAUAAAAGCUACCCCGGGGAUAACAGGCUUAUCUCCCCCAAGAGUUCACAUCGACGGGGAGGUUUGGCACCUCGAUGUCGGCUCAUCGCAUCCUGGGGCUGUAGUCGGUCCCAAGGGUUGGGCUGUUCGCCCAUUAAAGCGGUACGCGAGCUGGGUUCAGAACGUCGUGAGACAGUUCGGUCCCUAUCCGUCGUGGGCGUAGGAAAUUUGAGAGGAGCUGUCCUUAGUACGAGAGGACCGGGAUGGACAUACCUCUGGUGUACCAGUUGUCGUGCCAACGGCAUAGCUGGGUAGCUAUGUGUGGACGGGAUAAGUGCUGAAAGCAUCUAAGCAUGAAGCCCCCCUCAAGAUGAGAUUUCCCAACUUCGGUUAUAAGAUCCCUCAAAGAUGAUGAGGUUAAUAGGUUCGAGGUGGAAGCAUGGUGACAUGUGGAGCUGACGAAUACUAA